AUUGAACGCUGGCGGCAUGCUUUACACAUGCAAGUCGAACGGCAGCGCGGGCUUCGGCCUGGCGGCGAGUGGCGAACGGGUGAGUAAUGCAUCGGAACGUGCCCAGUAGUGGGGGAUAGCCCGGCGAAAGCCGGAUUAAUACCGCAUACGACCUGAGGGUGAAAGCGGGGGACCGAAAGGCCUCGCGCUAUUGGAGCGGCCGAUGUCGGAUUAGCUAGUUGGUGGGGUAAAGGCUUACCAAGGCGACGAUCCGUAGCUGGUCUGAGAGGACGACCAGCCACACUGGGACUGAGACACGGCCCAGACUCCUACGGGAGGCAGCAGUGGGGAAUUUUGGACAAUGGGGGCAACCCUGAUCCAGCCAUGCCGCGUGCGGGAAGAAGGCCUUCGGGUUGUAAACCGCUUUUGUUCGGGAAGAAAUCCUCUGGGCUAAUACCCCGGGGGGAUGACGGUACCGGAAGAAUAAGCACCGGCUAACUACGUA
This 484-nucleotide ribosomal RNA is filed under the name uncultured bacterium. Its description in RNAcentral is "partial 16S ribosomal RNA". It matches the Rfam family "Bacterial small subunit ribosomal RNA", at positions 29 to 507 of the family's 1533-position model. The record is from RNAcentral.